Molecule: long non-coding RNA, 1253 nt
Organism: Salarias fasciatus (jewelled blenny)
Lineage: Eukaryota; Metazoa; Chordata; Actinopteri; Blenniiformes; Blenniidae
Exons: 3
Source: RefSeq, a predicted model, not a curated record
CAUAUCGCCUCCAUGUUCGAAUCACAAAAGGACAUUAAAAACGAUAAAGGAUUUCCAAAAGAGAAAUUUGUAAUGAGCUCCAACGUGUCUGUGGUAUUUCUGACCAUCAAGACAGUGAACGUAUCGGACUCUUUACUGUACUUCUGUGGAUACUACGUUUCAAGGAGUCCUAUAAUUAUUGAAGCAACACAUUUCGAAGUUCAUGGUCGUGGCGAUUCGUACCAGAAUCCACAUCACCAGGGACGAGACGAGGAUGAUCUGGAUGAUGCAGCUGUGACAGAAGACCGUCACCACACGGAGACACCGAUCUGAGUGUGAUUUAUUCAGUCCCAGCAUGUGUGUUUGUGAGAGAGUGGGCGUGGCCAGAUGCGUUCAAGUGCAUACUGGGAAGCAGGCUCAGAAACAGCCUGUUCUGAGGAGGGCUCGUCAGAGCAACUUUUUAGACUGCUGAAACUCUGAACAAAGGAUUAAUUUGGGGCAAGCAAACUUUAAUACUAUGUUUUUGGGCUUCUGAGACCUAUAUGUCGUGACUGAAUAAUAGCAUCAUAUGUCCUCUUUAAGUGUAAAAUUACUUAGGUUUGAAUUUCUGUUAAUGAGCUGGAGGCGAGGCUAUUUCCUCCUAUGUAUGUACAGUGGCAGUCAGCUCUGAAAUGUCUUCAUACUUCCUCCAUUUGUGCUGCCAUAGAGUCUUACAAUGAAAAGUACUUCAUAGAGCCAAUUGGUCUAAAAGUAAAUGAGCUCACAUACAUCCUGGUAUCGAUCCUAACGGUAAUCGAUGCCACACAGGACCAGCUAGUCUUGCACACACGUUUUGGACCUGCCCAGCACUGUUCCAGUAUUGGGAAUCUGGAUUUGCUUUACUCUCUGCCGUCACACCUGUCACCAUUCUUCCCUCUCCACUAUUUGGCCUGUUUGGGGUCUGACCUUCUGACCAGAUACUGCCCUCCCAUUUUGCUGAUUUUAUAGUCUUCCUCACCUUGAUAGAAAGACGUGCAAUCUUGAUACAUUGGAAGAGCCCCCACUCACCCUCCCACACCAGGUGGAUUAAGGAUGUCUUCACCUUUUUGAAACCGGAAAAAAUAGAUACUCCCUGCAAAGUCUCAAUACAAAGUUUAUUGAAUGUGAAAUUUAAAUUGAAAUUGAACUUGAAAGUCCUUUAUUUGUCCCACAGGGGGAAAUUGCAGUGUUACAGCAGCAAAAGAAAAGAAAUAUAAAUAGGAUACAAAUGUGAAAUGUGAGAAUUUACAAAGUAA